CCUACGGGAGGCAGCAGUGAGGAAUAUUGGGCAAUGGACGAGAGUCUGAACCAGCAAAGUAGCGUGAAGGAAGAAUGCCCUAUGGGUGGUAAACUUCUUUUAUAAAGGAAUAAAACGAGGCACGUGUGCCUUUUUGCAUGUACUUUAUGAAUAAGGAUCGGCUAACUCAGUGCCAGCAGCCGCGGUAAUACGGAGGAUUCGAGCGUUAUCCGGAUUUAUUGGGUUUAAAGGGAGCGUAGAUGGGUUGUUAAGUCAGUUGUGAAAGUUUGCGGCUUAACCGUAAAAUUGCAAUUGAUACUGGCAGUCUUGAGUACAGUUGAGGUAGGCGGAAUUCGUGGUGUAGCGGUGAAAUGCUUAGAUAUCACGAAGAACCCCGAUUGCGAAGGCAGCUUAUUAAACUGUGACUGACAUUGAUGCUCGAAAGUGUGGGUAUCAAACAGGAUUAGAUACCCGAGUAGUC
Molecule: ribosomal RNA, 460 nt
Filed under: uncultured bacterium
Lineage: Bacteria
Description: partial 16S ribosomal RNA
Rfam family: Bacterial small subunit ribosomal RNA
Source: RNAcentral